This 253-nucleotide ribosomal RNA is filed under the name uncultured bacterium. Its description in RNAcentral is "partial 16S ribosomal RNA". It matches the Rfam family "Bacterial small subunit ribosomal RNA", at positions 524 to 776 of the family's 1533-position model. The record is from RNAcentral. RNAcentral also lists the same sequence under 2 other names.
UACGUAGGGUGCGAGCGUUAAUCGGAAUUACUGGGCGUAAAGCGUGCGUAGGCGGUUCCUCAAGUCCGUUGUGAAAGCCCCGGGCUCAACCUGGGAAUGGCAGUGGAAACUAGGGGACUGGAAUCUGGCAGAGGGGGGUGGAAUGCCGCGUGUAGCAGUGAAAUGCGUAGAGAUGCGGCGGAACACCGAUGGCGAAGGCAGCCCCCUGGGCUGAGAUUGACGCUCAGGCACGAAAGCGUGGGGAGCAAACAGG